RNAcentral lists this non-coding RNA (30 nucleotides) under Mus musculus (house mouse). Lineage: Eukaryota; Metazoa; Chordata; Mammalia; Rodentia; Muridae. The record is from RNAcentral.
UACUUAUGGCGCCUCACACUUGUGGUCCAA